Molecule: long non-coding RNA, 802 nt
Filed under: Marmota monax (woodchuck)
Lineage: Eukaryota; Metazoa; Chordata; Mammalia; Rodentia; Sciuridae
Source: RNAcentral
UGAAAUGGUUAUGAAUUUCUUACUGUAAUUUUCUUAGUUGUUUCUUUUUGGCCCUAGAAGUAGAGUUUUCUUCUUAGUUGGGGAGAUCUGUUGCCACCAGUUUACAUUAACUCUAAGAGCUGAGCGAGGUCAGCCUGUUCCUGCUCCUGCAACUUGGUUCUUUUCCUCAACUAACUAAUUUAGAUUAAAAGAGGGCAAGUGCCUGUUGACUAUGUGUUAUAAAACUUUCUCUUGUAUCAUCUUCACUUCUGCUGCCCUUAUUCUAGGCUACCAAAAUGUCCUAUCUGGUUUCUUUGCUUCUGUUCAUUUCCCUGAAAGAGCAGAGUGAGGUUUCAAAACAUGAAUCAGAGCAAAAAGCCAUCAGUGUUUCCUUAGUAUGUGUAAACUAAAAUCAGACUCCUUACCAUGACCUCUGAGGCCAGGUAUGGUUGUCCCUCCCUGAGUCUCUCUUGUACUCUUGAAGUUCCAGCCAUGCCACCUUUUCUUCUAUCGAAGUUCUCUGAGCGUCUUUUGUCUCAAAACCAUUGCAUGGGUUGUUCCUCUGCCUAGAGCUCUCUUCCUCCACAUCUGUGAUGGUUCACUUUUCCUGACAUUCAAGCUUUAGCUCAAAGGAAACAUUUUCUGGGACCUUUCUUUCAGUCUUCUACCUUUAGCUCCCAAGUGGACCUCGUCUCAUGCCCUUUUACUUCCUUCUCACUACUUAAAACUAUGCAGUGUACGAUUGUCCCUUUCACUUUAAUAAUUGGUCACCAGUUAGAUAUAAAUUCUCUAAAAUCUAUGAUCCUGUCUAUUUUGUUUGGCA